GAAAAUAAAUUUUAUAUUAUAAAAAUCUUGAUGUAAUACCAAUACCAAUAUAUAAAAUUGUAAAAUUGGACUAUAAUUCAUGGUGAAAAAAUGAAAAUAAAGUUAUACAGGUAAUUAACAAUUUAAAACACGACGAAUUUUAAUUUUAUUUGUGUUUUUUUUGAAAAAUAAUUAUGUUCUUACAUUGUCACCUUCCGCCAAUUUUUUUGGAUUGAUUGUGCACACAAACAUCUAACUUAAAUCCGUGAGUUUGUAGUAUUGAGAAAGAGGAGGUUGUGUUUAGAUGAUCCAAAACCUUACGAUCUACGGGGGUAUUUAUAGGUGCAGAGAGACUUGUGUGCUACUCUUUCCUAUAAUUAAAUAAUCUGAAACAAAAUUAGAUUAAAACUUUCAAAUUACUAUAUUCCGUAAAUAAUCCAAAACAAAAUCAGAUUCUGAUACUUGCUUCUAAUAUACCCAAAACUAAUAAAGGUAGUUCUAAUUUUUGAUAUUUUUCAUCCAAAAAUUCCAUAUAAUUUAAAAAAUAGAACGGACCGAUGUGGGAGGCGCCAUCUACAGCCCCUCGCUUCUCCACCAUAUUUUCCU
RNAcentral lists this long non-coding RNA (585 nucleotides) under Daucus carota (carrot). RNAcentral describes it as "long non-coding RNA (DCAR_LNC001272)". The record is from RNAcentral. Lineage: Eukaryota; Viridiplantae; Streptophyta; Magnoliopsida; Apiales; Apiaceae.